RNAcentral lists this ribosomal RNA (253 nucleotides) under uncultured bacterium. RNAcentral describes it as "partial 16S ribosomal RNA". It matches the Rfam family "Bacterial small subunit ribosomal RNA", at positions 524 to 776 of the family's 1533-position model. RNAcentral also lists the same sequence under 1 other name. The record is from RNAcentral.
UACGUAGGCAGCGAGCGUUGUUCGGAGUUACUGGGCGUAAAGAGUGCGUAGGUGGCUCUCUAAGUUUGGUGUGAAAUCUCCCGGCUCAACUGGGAGGGUGCGCCGAAAACUGGAGGACUAGAGUGUGGGAGAGGAAAGCGGAAUUCCUGGUGUAGCGGUGAAAUGCGUAGAUAUCAGGAGGAACACCUGCGGUGUAGACGGCUUUCUGGACCACUACUGACACUGAGGCACGAAAGCGUGGGGAGCAAACAGG